AGGCCAGGAUUGAGAGGCAGGGUCUGAUCCACAGCCUCCGUGGCAGCUGUUGAUCAGCCUUCGCCUCUCUUUCUCUUUCUC
Molecule: non-coding RNA, 81 nt
Organism: Myotis lucifugus (little brown bat)
Lineage: Eukaryota; Metazoa; Chordata; Mammalia; Chiroptera; Vespertilionidae
Source: Rfam